GUGUCAGCAGCCGCGGUAAUACAGAGGUCCCAAGCGUUGUUCGGAUUCACUGGGCGUAAAGGGUGCGUAGGUGGUAAGGCAAGUCAGGUGUGAAAUCUCCGGGCUCAACCCGGAAAUGGCAUUCGAAACUACCUUGCUAGAGGGUUUGAGGGGGGACUGGAAUACUUGGUGUAGCAGUGAAAUGCGUAGAUAUCAAGUGGAACACCAGUGGCGAAGGCGAGUCCCUGGAAAACUCCUGACACUGAGGCACGAAAGCUAGGGGAGCAAACAGGAUUAGAAACCCUAGUAGUCC
This 292-nucleotide ribosomal RNA is filed under the name uncultured bacterium. RNAcentral describes it as "partial 16S ribosomal RNA". It matches the Rfam family "Bacterial small subunit ribosomal RNA", at positions 505 to 796 of the family's 1533-position model. The record is from RNAcentral.